Molecule: non-coding RNA, 367 nt
Organism: Crotalus tigris (Tiger rattlesnake)
Lineage: Eukaryota; Metazoa; Chordata; Lepidosauria; Squamata; Viperidae
Source: the annotation of a RefSeq genome assembly
CUUCAGACAACACCCAGGAACAUAAACCUUGUGCAAUUUUCUCUCUUGUCUCUUGUCAAUUCCCUCCAUUCAUUCAGUGAAAAUGUGGCUCAACCUUGUGUCCUUACUAGUAGUCCUCAAAGGAGUCCAGUUUCAAGUCCAGUUGGUGGAGUCUGGAGGGGAUGUGAGAAGACCUGGAGGGUCCCUCCAUCUCUCCUGCCAAGCCUCUGGAUUUGAUUUCAGCAGAUAUGGCAUGGGCUGGGUUAGACAUUCUCCAGGGAAAGGCCUGGAAUGGGUGGCAUUCAUAAGCAAUGCUGCUGCUACUAUUCGCUACUCAGACAAAGUGAAGGGUCACUUCACCAUCUCCAGGGACAAUGCCAAAAGCUAG